Amaranthus tricolor (Joseph's coat) is the source of this 933-nucleotide long non-coding RNA. RefSeq lists it as uncharacterized. The transcript has 2 exons. The record is from RefSeq and is a predicted model, not a curated record. NCBI's taxonomy places the organism in Eukaryota, Viridiplantae, Streptophyta, Magnoliopsida, Caryophyllales, Amaranthaceae.
AAUUAUUGUAUAACGCGGUCUCGAUGUGAAACGCGCUCCAUACACCAGCAAUAGUCUAACUAGUAUAAAUUCAUUAGUGAUACUAAAUACAAACUUAUUAUUUAAGGUUGUCUCACCGAGAGACGGUUAAUCGCAAUAAUUGCCACAUAAGAUUAUCUAUUUCUAUCACAAUGGUGUUUUAGUAAAUCUUACACAAUCUAGUGACUUAUGGCUUAAAAUUCAUUUCGAUUCCGUGGUUAGUUUACUUUAAGGGGGUGUUUGGUAUAGUUUUUUUGGGCCUAAGUAAUGGAUUCAUUUAAUCCAAUCCAUUACUAAUUGUUUGUUAUGUGAUAUGGAUAAUCCAAUCCGUUACCAAAUGGAAAUGGAUUACCUUACUUUAUUACUGCUCAUUUCAUUCCUCAAUCAAUAUCUGUUACUCUAUGUCUUCUCAAAUACGGUGCAUUUCUGCGUUCUUCAACAUAGUUCUUCCAUUUCUGAGAUAAAACGAUAAGUGUUUAAUAGGUGAUCCUUAUUAGCCUUCAUGCUGAAGUCUAGUCGGUGAAACAACCGGUCAUAUCAGAAUUUGGGAGCUUCUAAAGCCUAAGCUGCCCUGAAUCCUGACAGAGGUGAAUUUCUGAUCCUAUUAUUUGGGAGCAUGUUCUACUGCUGAAGAACACAAGCUUCGCAUCUUUUAUCAAGCUCAUUCGAACCUUAAGAAACAAUAUGUGCUCGAUCUUCUUAAGAAAAUAUGAAAGCGGUCUUCUAAAAAGACAUGAGUUGAGAUGUUGUUAUUAGUGGUUGAACUUGUAGUAUGUGCUUGCAGAUUAUUAGUUGAAUACUUGCAUAAUAGUAUUGCAAAUUGCUAUGUUUUAUCUUAUUUAGGCUUGAACUAUGUUGAGUUUUAUCAAAGAAAUCUUGUUUUAAUGUUUGCUUAAGUUAAUUUUUGUACAAAAA